AGUGCUCACUUCUAUCCUUUUCAGCUUUUAAAGUUUGUCUCCUAAUGUUGAUCCUGGAGUUGAAAAUGCUAGUAUUCUUUCGAGAUAAGGUAACGGUCUAUCCUCUCAUGGGAACACAGUUUAAUCAGAAAAAUUGCUAAUACGGCAUGAGACGGUUUAUAGAUAGGUUUCAAUUUCAGUCCUAGUGUUAUUAUGUUGUCUUUGUUUUCAAGUACAGUAGCAAAACCUCGCUUUCUUUACUCACACAUACACAGUGCAACGUCCUCUUGACUUCUAAAGUGAAAAAUCGAUGGAAAGUUAAAAGUUUAUAAAGAUUUGGAUGGGAAAAAAAUGUCCUGAAAAUUGAGAUUUCUACCCCACAAAUCUGUCUUCUACCUUUUCUGAAAGCUUUGGUGUCUCUCAAGAGCGAGUGUCACCUACACUGAGGACUUUAAAGCCUUCUGUCUCGCUCAUCCUCUCUCGCUACAGUUAGCUUCCUUCUCUCCAGGGACUUCCCAGUCUGACUCCCCACAUCAAUCGUCUGUCACAUUUUUUUCUUCCUACACCCGUCAUCCACUUCCUUUUCCCUUCCUUCACCUCUAUACCGCUCUUCGCCUUGAUCUUCUCGCUCAUUUUCUUUUCUCCCUUCCUCAGCUUUCAUUCAUUCGUUUUAUCCUCCCUAAGGCGACUCAUCUCUGUCUGAUUCUCCUUUCCUUUGCCGUCACCCUCUGUGUGCCAGCCUGUGCACUGCAGCUGCGCCCAGCUGGCAGUCCUUGCUCUGCAGAAUUAAUGGUCCCAUUAUCUGUCUGUCUCUGUUCAGAUACUUUCACACACAGGCCACCUGCCAUGGCAGCGCCAACCCGCAGUCGUGGACAAUCAGAAGGUACAUUUGAAGGACUUUUAAAGUGCUGCGAUGAAAGUAGAAUAAUCAACUUUAAAGCCUGUUGCGGGAGUGAUGUUGACUUUCUAGUGAGAUGAUCCAGUGCAAUCCCAGUACACGGGAAUAUGGAGGAAAUGUGCAGAUGUUGUUAAACUGUUCCCAUCUUUGCUCUCCAUGGUGACUUCCACAGAGUCCUCCUUUUGCAGGUUGUUGGUGAGCUUGAGAGUGUCAAACGACACUGUCUGCUUCAUCCACUGGGCUCCAGGGGCCGGGAUGAAGUCCAUGAGCAGAACAUACUCGGCUGAAGGAUCCAUUCCAGAGAUUCUCACCUGAAAUGUUGGAAACAUCCUCCUACCGUUUUAUGAAUAUA
Molecule: long non-coding RNA, 1229 nt
Organism: Poecilia latipinna (sailfin molly)
Lineage: Eukaryota; Metazoa; Chordata; Actinopteri; Cyprinodontiformes; Poeciliidae
Exons: 4
Source: RefSeq, a predicted model, not a curated record